RNAcentral lists this ribosomal RNA (253 nucleotides) under uncultured bacterium. RNAcentral's name for it is "partial 16S ribosomal RNA". It matches the Rfam family "Bacterial small subunit ribosomal RNA", at positions 524 to 776 of the family's 1533-position model. The record is from RNAcentral.
UACAGAGGGGGCAAGCGUUGUUCGGAAUUACUGGGCGUAAAGGGCGCGUAGGCGGCCUGUUAAGUCGGACGUGAAAUCCCUCGGCUCAACCGGGGAACUGCGUCCGAUACUGGCGGGCUUGAAUUCGGGAGAGGGAUGUGGAAUUCCAGGUGUAGCGGUGAAAUGCGUAGAUAUCAGGAGGAACACCGGUAGCGAAGGCGGCCCUCUGGACCAGUACUGACGCUGAGGCACGAAAGCGUGGGGAGCAAACAGG